UACGAGGGGUGCAAGCGUUAUUCGGAAUCAUUGGGCGUGAAGGGCGUGCAGGCGGUGCAGUAAGUCAACUGUCUAAUUUCUCGGCCUAACCGAGGGAAGGCGGUAGAUACUAUUGUGCUAGAGUAUGGAAGAGAAAAGUGGAAUUCUCGGAGUAGCGGUAAAAUUCGUAGAUCUCGAGAGGAAUACCGAUGGCGAAGGCAGCUUUUUGGUCCAUUACUGACGCUGAGGCGCGAAAGCGUGGGGAGCAAACAGG
Molecule: unclassified non-coding RNA, 253 nt
Filed under: uncultured bacterium
Lineage: Bacteria
Description: contains 16S-23S intergenic spacer region
Rfam family: Bacterial small subunit ribosomal RNA
Source: RNAcentral